This 405-nucleotide ribosomal RNA is filed under the name uncultured bacterium. RNAcentral describes it as "partial 16S ribosomal RNA". It matches the Rfam family "Bacterial small subunit ribosomal RNA", at positions 28 to 526 of the family's 1533-position model. The record is from RNAcentral.
GACGAACGCUGGCGGCGUGCUUAACACAUGCAAGUCGAACGAGUGGCGAACGGGUGAGUAACACGUGGGUGACCUGCCCUGCACUUCGGAAUAAGCCUGGGAAACCGGGUCUAAUACCGGCGAGUGUGGGUUGGGCCCGCGGCUGAUCAGCUUGUUGGUGGGGUAAUGGCUACCAAGGCGCGACGGGUAGCCGGCCUGAGAGGGUGGACGGCCACAUUGUGACUGAGACACGGCCCAGACUCCUACGGGAGGCAGCAGUGGGGAAUAUUGCACAAUGGGCGGAAGCCUGAUGCAGCGAUGCCGCGUGGGGGAUGACGGUCUUCGGGUUGUAAAGUACUUUCAGCGGGGAGGCGUUACCCGCAGAAGAAGCACCGGCUAACUCCGUGCCAGCAGCCGCGGUAAUAC